RNAcentral lists this ribosomal RNA (253 nucleotides) under uncultured bacterium. Its description in RNAcentral is "partial 16S ribosomal RNA". It matches the Rfam family "Bacterial small subunit ribosomal RNA", at positions 524 to 776 of the family's 1533-position model. The record is from RNAcentral.
UACGGAGGGUGCAAGCGUUGUCCGGAUUUAUUGGGCUUAAAGGGUGCGUAGGCGGGAGAUUAAGUCAGAGGUGAAAGACUGCAGCUCAACUGUAGCAGUGCCUUUGAUACUGAUUUUCUUGAGUACAGAUGAGGCUGGCGGAAUGGGUGGUGUAGCGGUGAAAUGCAUAGAUACCAUCCAGAACACCGAUUGCGAAGGCAGCCGGCUAAACUGUCACUGACGCUGAGGCACGAAAGCGUGGGGAGCGAACAGG